GUAGGGAAUAUUGGGCAAUGGUCGGAAGACUGACCCAGCCAUGCCGCGUGCAGGAAGACGGCCCUCUGGGUUGUAAACUGCUUUUAUCUGGGAAGAAAAAGGCCAUGCGUGGCAAAUUGCCGGUACCAGAUGAAUAAGCACCGGCUAACUCCGUGCCAGCAGCCGCGGUAAUACGGAGGGUGCGAGCGUUGUCCGGAUUUAUUGGGUUUAAAGGGUGCGUAGGCGGCUGAUUAAGUCAGCGGUGAAAGACUUCGGCUUAACCGGAGCAGUGCCGUUGAUACUGGUUGGCUUGAGUGUCGGAGGGGUACAUGGAAUUGAUGGUGUAGCGGUGAAAUGCAUAGAUACCAUCAGGAACACCGAUAGCGAAGGCAUUGUACUGGCCGACAACUGACGCUGAUGCGCGAAAGUGUGGGGAUCGAACAGGAUUAGAUACCCCUGUAGUCC
RNAcentral lists this ribosomal RNA (444 nucleotides) under uncultured bacterium. RNAcentral describes it as "partial 16S ribosomal RNA". It matches the Rfam family "Bacterial small subunit ribosomal RNA", at positions 354 to 796 of the family's 1533-position model. The record is from RNAcentral.